UCGGGAAUUUUGGGCAAUGGGGGAAACCCUGACCCAGCAACGCCGCGUGAAGGAUGAAGUAUUUCGGUAUGUAAACUUCGUAAGAAUAGGAAGAAUAAAUGACGGUACUAUUUUGUAAGGUCCGGCUAACUACGUGCCAGCAGCCGCGGUAAUACGUAGGGACCAAGCGUUGUUCGGAUUUACUGGGCGUAAAGGGCGCGUAGGCGGUGUGUCAAGUCAGUUGUGAAAUCUCCGAGCUUAACUCGGAACGGUCAACUGAUACUGUCACACUAGAGUACAGAAGGGGCAAUCGGAAUUCUUGGUGUAGCGGUGAAAUGCGUAGAUAUCAAGAGGAACACCUGAGGCGAAGGCGGGUUGCUGGGCUGAUACUGACGCUGAGGCGCGAAAGCUAGGGUAGCAAACGGGAUU
Molecule: ribosomal RNA, 408 nt
Filed under: uncultured bacterium
Lineage: Bacteria
Description: bacterial SSU rRNA
Rfam family: Bacterial small subunit ribosomal RNA
Source: RNAcentral